Molecule: ribosomal RNA, 477 nt
Filed under: uncultured bacterium
Lineage: Bacteria
Description: partial 16S ribosomal RNA
Rfam family: Bacterial small subunit ribosomal RNA
Source: RNAcentral
UGAACGCUGGCGGCGUGCUUAACACAUGCAAGUCGAGCGAGAAGUUUUGAAAAGAUUCUUCGGAUGAAAUUUAAAAUGGAAAGCGGCGGACGGGUGAGUAACGCGUAGGCAACCUGCCCCAUACAAAGGGAUAGCAUUUGGAAACGAAUAUUAAUACCUUAUGAAACUUAACUAGUGCAUGCUAGGUAGGUCAAAGAUUUAUCGGUAUGGGAUGGGCCUGCGUCUGAUUAGCUAGUUGGUGAGGUAACGGCUCACCAAGGCGACGAUCAGUAGCCGACCUGAGAGGGUGAACGGCCACAUUGGAACUGAGACACGGUCCAAACUCCUACGGGAGGCAGCAGUGGGGAAUAUUGCACAAUGGGGGAAACCCUGAUGCAGCAACGCCGCGUGAACGAUGAAGGCCUUUGGGUCGUAAAGUUCUGUUCUAGGUGAUGAAAACUGACAGUAACCUAGGAGAAAGCCCCGGCUAACUCCGUG